Molecule: ribosomal RNA, 2928 nt
Filed under: Triticum aestivum (bread wheat)
Lineage: Eukaryota; Viridiplantae; Streptophyta; Magnoliopsida; Poales; Poaceae
Description: partial small subunit ribosomal RNA
Source: RNAcentral
AUGGAGGCAGCGGUGGUGAGCGCUCUGAUGACCAACAUCGUGGCAAAGCUCUUGGUGGUGCUGGAUAAGAGAUCCGAGCAGUUGAGUGGCCUCGCCGGUGAUAUCAAACACAUGCAAAGUGAGCUGAGCAUGAUUGCCGGUGACAUGGAGGAUCAUCUCUCGCAGAAGGCGCAGCCUAGCGUCGUCCAGAGCUCAUUCAUCACCCGGAUGCGUGAUCUGGCAUUUGACAUUGAAGAUUGCCUAGACCAGUUCCUCCCUUGUGGUGCCUGCGACGGAGAACCGAUGUCAAUCGGCGAUCAAGUGGACUUCUCCAAGGAGAUUCAGAAGCUGAAGAAGCAGUUGGAGGACGCACAUCAGCAGAAAACCAAUUACGGUGUCAAGAUCGGAAGCCAGCAGCAAGCCGCCGCCGGCCAAUUAUUGUUCCUAGCUGAUGAUGAUGCGAGCGCAUUCGAGGACCAUCAUCAUCAUGUUGGCAUCGAGAAACCCAAGCAGGAGCUUCUGGAAUUGCUAGAUGGCGAGAGCGAGAAGAUGAUAGUGAUAUCCAUCGUCGGGUUUGGCGGCUCGGGGAAGACGGCACUCGCGAAGGCAGUGUAUCACUGCCCUCAAGUUCGCCGGAAAUUCCUUCACCGUGCCUGGGUUGUGGCUUCCAAGCACAAAGACGACGCCAAGCAGGGGAUCUUGAGGGCGAUAGUGCAACAGCUUCUUCCAAGCGUAGCACCAGACGAGAUACGAACAAAACAAGCCGCCCAGCUUCAGGAACUUCUCAGAGAGCGUCUUGGAAUCGCAAGAACCAGGUGUUUAAUUGUAAUUGACGACAUCGAGAAGCUUCUGUGGGAGGCACUAAAGCCCAUCUUUUCUGCAGUGAAGUCAAUCACACUUCUACUGACCACCAACGUGCAGUCAGUAGCAAAUGCAUGCAGCUCGGGUGACGGUUAUGUUUACAAUAUGAGAAAUCUUGGCAAAGAAGAAUCCAAGACAUUGCUGAAGAAUAAAGUUUCAUUCUUCCAGGCAUCUUCACCUGACUCGGAGGAUGGUUCAGAUGCCAUCGUUCACAAAUGCUUAGGCCAUCCACUUGCUCUCGUCAGUGUGGCCAACCAUUUGCUAGACGAGAAGGAGCUCACAGGACAGUUCUGCCAAGAUACUUGCAGGCGCCUAGGUAUCCAUAUGGACGAGAACAAGAACAACAACUUCACAAAGCUCCGACAAGUUCUUAUGACCAAUUACAGUAGUCUACCAGCAGGCAGUUCUCUCAGGACAUGUUUGCUGUACACAAGUUUAUUCCCAGAUGGUCGUCCCGUCAGCAGGAAGACCCUUACGAGGCGAUGGUUGGCUGAAGGAUACAUAGAGGGUCGGCUGCAACACAGUGACCUGGAGGUUGCCGAAGAAAACUUGAAGAAACUCACUGACCGGAAUAUCAUUCUGCCUGUUGAUUCAAGCAACAAUGGAAAAGCCAAGACGUGCAAACCUUACGGCAUCAUGCACCAUUUCAUGCUGCACAGGUCCAUGUCUUCAAAUUUCAUUGCUAAAUCUUUUGGUGCCAAGAACCGAAGUAAUUAUCGUCAUCUCGUCAUCGAGAAUCAUACAAAUGGCACAGCUUCCAGCAAUGAUCAUCAUGGUGCUUCAAGUAGCCACGGCCACCUGAACAAAAUUUGUACCUAUGUGAAGAAAAAUCUGGACAAUACAGGAUCAGUCAAUAAGAUGCGGCCCCGGUCAAUAACAGUCUUUGGGAGCGGAGGAGAAGCUGUUCAUUCGAAUCUGACCGGCUGCAAGUUGCUGAGGGUGUUGGAUCUAAAAGAUUGCAAUGAUUUCGGGGACGCACAUGUAGACAACAUAUACAAGCUAUUGCACCUCAAAUAUCUGACCCUUGGAAGCUCUGUUAGCAAUCUCCCAGUUAAAAUGAAGAAGCUACAUUGUUUAGAGACACUCGACUUGAGGAAGACGAAGAUAGAAACACUUCCCCUGGAAAUCAUCAGUCUGCCCCACUUGGCACACCUUUUUGGGAAGAUUAAACUGAAGAGGGUAAGUGCCAAGAAUCGUAAGAACUUCAACUUGCAGACUCUAGCAGGAGUUGUUGUAGACAGCAACUCUGGAUUCCCGGAACUGAUGGUUCAUAUGAAAAAACUGACAAAGGUCAAGAUAUGGUGCGAGAUCACUAGCACAGAUAGCAAUCACGCCAUGCUCUCAGAGGCCAUUCACAAGUUUGCUCAGGCUGGCGCAGAUAUUUCAGUAGGGCCCCGUUCUCUAUCGCUCCAUCUGAAUAAUUCUUCCAAAGAUUUGCUUCAAGGCGACAGCAGCAAUGCAACAUCAAGCACGCCUGGUUAUCUCAGCUCACUGAAACUGCAAGGUGGCCUGAGUCAGUUCCCCCAGUUUGUCAUGUCCCUCCGUGGUCUGAAAGAGUUGUGCCUGACAUAUACUAAUAUGACGGGGGCCAAUCUUCUACCAGGCCUGCGUAAGCUACCACGCUUGGUUUGUCUGAAACUGGUGGAGGUCGAUCUCGCUGAUUUGGACAUAAAAGAUAAGGAUUUGCCAAGCCUGCAACGCCUAUGCAUUGUGGUGGAAAACCCCAAAUUCCCCACAAUUAAAGAUGGAGCUUUGCCGCGUCUUGUUUCACUCCAGUUGCUUUGUGAACAUCUAGUGGGUCUUUGUGGUGUCAUAAAAGUGGAAGGGUUUGAAGCUCUUCAGGAAAUCGCUCUCGAUUCUAUGGUCAAUCAACCAACCAUACAGCUGUGGGAAAAUGAAGCGAAGAAGCACCCCAAGAGGCCAAGGGUUUGUUUGCUCAAAAGGGUCAUCGUUCCAGCCGAAACUAGUUGGCCUUCAGUGAAAUAUGUUGCCUUGUGCCAAGACGACAGCAAUUGCUACACCGACACCUGCACUAUCGAUCACAUGGAAAUUGACCUCGAGGACCCUACUCUGCAGCCUAAUUCCUAA